GAGAGAAGAGCUGACACAGUAUUGGUCCUGCAGUGACAAAAUAACUUCUGAUGGAAAAAGAUUAUGGUGACAACCGAGCUACAGCAACAGAACUGCGAAUGAAAAAUUCUGAAAUUCUGCAAAUCAAGUAAAGGUUUGGUGCAAACAAAAGGGAAACGCUAUGUAGUUUGAACGCAAACCUCCAUCACACAGCCUUGGACCAAAGCAAUAUUCCAAAUACGAGCGACCUAAGGAAACGUCGAGGACUAAGCUACGAAACGAAGGAUUUGAAGAGCACUCUGUCCUGGCUGGCACCCCGAUCGAGCCCGUUAAGGAUUCAAACUGCUAAACAGUGAAUAAAGCAAGAUAUCAAGAACGAUGUUUCCCCUCAAUCAGAACUUACCAGUGACCCCGGGUGUGUGGACGAAGACAUGAAGCCACUUUGCUGUCCAGAUCUACUGUUACAGUUCAACUGUCUGCCUUCUGAACCCUCACGGACUCUCGUUCCGGAACAUGGCUAUUUAUGAGCAACUUCAAUUGUCAAAGAUCCGAGUGGUCUUGUGAGACGAUCUCUAUUUGAGGAGCUCUGAACCUCUGAACCCCAUCAAGGAAGGCAUUUGGCAUUCUGGCCGUGUAAUGCACUGAAUAGCACGAGCGAUGAACUUCUUAUAUAGCGUUAAUACAGAGCUGAAAAUAG
This is a long non-coding RNA of Callorhinchus milii (elephant shark), 676 nucleotides long. RefSeq lists it as uncharacterized. NCBI's taxonomy places the organism in Eukaryota, Metazoa, Chordata, Chondrichthyes, Chimaeriformes, Callorhinchidae. The transcript is spliced from 3 exons. The record is from RefSeq and is a predicted model, not a curated record.